RNAcentral lists this small RNA (324 nucleotides) under Arabidopsis thaliana (thale cress). RNAcentral's name for it is "ATSL023520". The record is from RNAcentral. Lineage: Eukaryota; Viridiplantae; Streptophyta; Magnoliopsida; Brassicales; Brassicaceae.
AAAAUACUAGUCAAUUUCUUCGGUCACUUUUUUGGACUGUAACUGAUAUGGUUAGGGCCGGGCAAAAUAUUCGUUCGAUCCGCUUCGAUUCGGUAUUUGAUUUGAUUUGAUUCGAAAAAUCCAAAUAUCCGUAAGAUUUUGGACCAAAACAAAUAGGAAAAUGUAGUAUUCGUAAAAACCGAAUCAAAUAACGAAUAUUGUUUUUUAAAAAAUCGAAUAUCCACUUCGAUCCGUAUCUUUUUAUAUAUAUUAAAAAUAUAGUUAUAUCUAUAUAUAGAUAUCAUAAAUAGUUUGUGUAUUGUUGCCAUUUUAUGUUUUUAUGUU